This 440-nucleotide ribosomal RNA is filed under the name uncultured bacterium. RNAcentral's name for it is "partial 16S ribosomal RNA". It matches the Rfam family "Bacterial small subunit ribosomal RNA", at positions 338 to 795 of the family's 1533-position model. The record is from RNAcentral.
CCUACGGGAAGCAGCAGUGGGGGAUAUUGCUCAAUGGGGGGAACCCUGAUGCAGCGACGCCGCGUGGGUGAAGAAGCGCCUUGGCGCGUUAAGCCCUGUCAGCAGGGAAGAAAAUGACGGUACCUGAAGAAGAAGCCCCGGCUAACUACGUGCCUGCAGCCGCGGCAAUACGUAGGGGGCAAGCGUUAUCCGGAUUUACUGGGUGUAAAGGGGGCGCAGACGGCGAUGCAAGCCAGGAGUGAAAGCCCGGGGCCCAACCCCGGGACUGCUCUUGGAACUGCGUGGCUGGAGUGCAGGAGGGGCAGGCGGAAUUCCUGGUGUAGCGGUGAAAUGCGUAGAUAUCAGGAGGAACACCGGUGGCGAAGGCGGCCUGCUGGACUGCAACUGACGUUGAGGCCCGAAGGCGAGGGGAGCGAACAGGAUUAGAUACCCCGGUAGUC